Molecule: long non-coding RNA, 1236 nt
Filed under: Homo sapiens (human)
Lineage: Eukaryota; Metazoa; Chordata; Mammalia; Primates; Hominidae
Description: HSALNT0101159
Source: RNAcentral
UAGCGAUGUGCAUAUUUCAACGGGAGAAGGUGGCUAGGUUAGAGACCCACGGUCGGCACGAGGAACGCCACAGUGUGGUAUAUUUGGGCUGGGAAAGGCUCCCGUGCAAAGAAUUUUAACACAUUCUUCUCUGGGCGGCCGAGGAGGCCACGCUAACCUGACAGCUCUGGAGCAAACGGUUAGAGAAAAUGGAUCGCUUUCCUCGGCCCAGGAUCCCCCACAGCCCCACCCCGUCCCGGCCCGGGGCGGCGUGUCCCUCGGUGUCUGUACUUAUGGGGUCAUAAGUUGUGGAAGAAAUAUGUCAGCCAAGGCUGGGAAUGCCUAGAGCACUGCUUCUUGUGUGGGAAGAUUCAUGGAAACAGAUUCAUGGAAACCAGGGUGGCCUGAGACUGAAGCUUCCAAGCCCAAGUAGCCUCCUGGGGUUGGUGGCAUGGAAAAGGAUUCAUCAUCUGCAAAACGAGGAUUGUGAUGAGGAGUGAAGGAAAUCAUUUGCUUGAGUGUGAACAGCCUGUCUGGCACUUUAAUGUUAAGAUGGUGAUGAGAAGAGGAAGGCGAGGCGAGAGAUGAUAGAUUGAGACCCUUGGCAGUGCUGCAGAAUGAACUUAGAGAACUACUGCCUUAGACUGGGCUAAGCAGGGAUUUUUUCUUUUUUCUUUUUCUGAAUGGGUUAGCCUGACCUCCUUCAGCAGAGGCUGGUGGGAACUGGGGAUGCAUAAGAUGAAAAUACACGGGCCGAGGGGAAUUUAUGUUCAUUUUGACCUCAAUUAACUUAUAAAACAUAUAAGAAAUUAUAUGCAAAUAAGUACCAAUUAUUUUCUGUCAGGAUCUUGUGUCACUUUUUGCAGUCUUGGCAUCUACAUUAUGCCGGGUCACUUGAUCCUCAAUUUUCCACGCCGGGCCAUCACCCCCAAUUCAUUUUGUACCCACCAAUUUCCUGACAGCAUUGCCAGUUUCAGACUAUCUUUUUAUUUAUUCUUUGUUCAGAUCCUGACUGACCUUGUAAACUUCUUUAUUGCCUAGAACUGGUAAGACAGCACUGCAUAAAUUAAUAAAAAUGUUGCCUUUUAAUAUAUCAGCAAAAUGACUGGAGAGCUGUUGAAUUCAUAAUAUGUAUUCUUAGAGAUUUUCAAAGCAUCUCCUAGGGUUUCAGUGCACAAUCCCUAUUAAAGCUAAAUACGAUUGGAGUACAUCGCCUCAAAAAUCCUUACCUAACAGUUCUCCUUGGAUCUCUAUUAG